This 520-nucleotide ribosomal RNA is filed under the name uncultured bacterium. RNAcentral describes it as "bacterial SSU rRNA". It matches the Rfam family "Bacterial small subunit ribosomal RNA", at positions 778 to 1297 of the family's 1533-position model. The record is from RNAcentral.
AUAGAUACCCUGGUAGUCCACGCCGUAAACGAUGAGUGCUAAGUGUUAGAGGGUUUCCGCCCUUUAGUGCUGAAGUUAACGCAUUAAGCACUCCGCCUGGGGAGUACGGCCGCAAGGCUGAAACUCAAAGGAAUUGACGGGGGGCCCGCACAAGCGGUGGAGCAUGUGGUUUAAUUCGAAGCAACGCGAAGAACCUUACCAGGUCUUGACAUCCUCUGACAACCCUAGAGAUAGGGCUUCUCCUUCGGGAGCAGAGUGACAGGUGGUGCAUGGUUGUCGUCAGCUCGUGUCGUGAGAUGUUGGGUUAAGUCCCGCAACGAGCGCAACCCUUGAUCUUAGUUGCCAUCAUUCAGUUGGGCACUCUAAGGUGACUGCCGGUGACAAACCGGAGGAAGGUGGGGAUGACGUCAAAUCAUCAUGCCCCUUAUGACCUGGGCUACACACGUGCUACAAUGGACGGUACAAAGAGCUGCAAGACCGCGAGGUGGAGCUAAUCUCAUAAAACCGUUCUCAGUUCGGA